RNAcentral lists this long non-coding RNA (1255 nucleotides) under Gadus morhua (Atlantic cod). RNAcentral's name for it is "lncRNA (ENSGMOG00000036554.1)". Lineage: Eukaryota; Metazoa; Chordata; Actinopteri; Gadiformes; Gadidae. The record is from RNAcentral.
CACUUUGCUGUCUAACCUGACAACUGUACAAUGCUUGUCAUCAAAUUUGUAUUAGGGUUGUUGCGCAACAAUUGAUGCCUGGCACCUGGACCGAGGAGACUGGCUUGGACAUUGAGGUAAUAAUUGCUGAGAUAACAAGCACGUCAGGAAAAUGUGUGUAGGGCUAUGACUGUUCAUCUUACAACCUGUUUUAUGGCACAGGGUGUUCCACAACAACUAUAUGGCAUCGACUGUGGAGUCUUUAUGGUCAUGUUGGAUAUGCCUCAUCUCAUAAGGUGGUGGUGCAAGCUCCUUUUGGACAACUACGGGAUCGAAGGAUGUGGCAAAAGAUUCUGUCAUUUCACCCAAGAAGGACACCAGAUGGUGAAUGGACUCCUGGCACCGGUGUUCCGGGUAACACGGAAGCGGAAGGUUUUGACCAAGGAGGAUAUAAAUGACUAAAAACUAAUCAUUCCUGUUUAUAAUCUAUUUUUCUCAAUAAAAAGAGGUUUAAAAAAAAAAAAUAGUAAAAAGUGUCUCCCUCUCUCUCUCUCUCUGGGCCCCCGAAAUAUUGUAGAAGGGGCCCCUGCGAGAUGUUUGGCUGCGGCCCCCCCCCCCCCCCCCCCCCCCCCCCACACACACACACACACACACAUCCGCUCUGCCUCUGGGUCCCAAUUCUGGGGGCCCUCUUCUCCGUCCCCUUAAUUUUGUACUUUUUUUUGUGUUACCUUAUACCUGCCAAUGCCUCUUGUGUUUCCCAUUUUUAAUAAUAAUUGUAUCCCUUAAUGUUAUUGCACAUAUUUUGUAUUUACUUUUUUAUUUACUUUAAAUGCUUUGUGUAAUGACCUUCCCUUUCUCUAUAAUAAAAAAAUGUAGCCUACCCUUAUGGCCUGAGUCAUGUUUCCCUUACUAAGAAUUCCCUAUCGUAUGCAUAAGUAUUGUCUGUAAACAAUACAAGUGGAAUAGGGGCGAAAAUGUACAAUUCUAAGGCUUGUAUCCUUUAAGUAACUUUACUUUGUCCCUCUGUUAAGCCAAGUAUAUGCAUUUGACAUCACAGUUAUCAGUAAAUGCAAAUUCGGUUUCUCUUCAUUACUCUUUGGUCAGCCUGACAUUUUCAGAGUAAAUUCCAAUCAAUAUUUUUGUGAAUAUUAAGAGCCAGAAUUUAAAUGACACCGCCCAUGAGCAAAAUAUUACACUAACUUUUUAACUCCACUGUUACAGUAAAUUGACUCCCUCCCGUAGCCUACAAACACCAGGCAAUAUCUGGACUUAC